CAUUCUACACUGUAUCGAGUUUUAUGUGAAAACGCGAGCCCUCCCGCAAGGGGGACCCACGCGGUGAUGCACAAAGGGGUGAGAUGGAUUGUAUGAAAGUGCUUGGGCGUGCACGACCUUUGAAGGUCAGCGACAGCCCUCACACCUCCGUUGUACAAUAAUGAUCCUUCCGCAGGUUCACCUACGGAAACCUUGUUACGACUUUUACUUCCUCUAAAUGACCAAGA
RNAcentral lists this unclassified non-coding RNA (227 nucleotides) under uncultured fungus. Its description in RNAcentral is "sequence contains 18S rRNA gene, ITS1, 5.8S rRNA gene, ITS2". Lineage: Eukaryota; Fungi. The record is from RNAcentral.